AGAGGCUGACUGGCUGGCUACAUAUCUGUCUCUGGAACAAUAGGUACCUAUAUUCUGCACGGGCUUCUGGGCAGGCAGCACUAACACUCAGGAGAAGGUCUGCCUCUGUCUGCGCCUUCCUGGUUCAAUGCAGGCAGAUGAGUGUCACAGAUGUAACUGAGGCACUGAAUAAUCAACAUAUCGGAGCCAAUUCCCAGGACGGCAAGAGGGGGAACCGGCAGAGAUGACUGACCCUGGAGGACAAGAGCAUUCUUCUGACAAGUUUUAGCAUGGACUAUCCUCAGGAAAAUGAGAUCCAGGAAGAGUGACGCCCUCCUCGAACUGAAAGAUACUCAGGUUGAUGGAGUCAGGGACGAAGUGGCUUAUCAACAACACAGGAUGUCUGCAGGGAACAGAACUUAUUCAGACAUGGCCCAGAUUGUCUGCCCGUGGGGACUGAGGGACCUCUGAGGGUUACAUCAGGAAGGAAGGAGAGGCUGUUUCUACAGGUGCCACAGAAAAAUCGAUGCUGAGCCUCGGAUUAUUGGAUCCCAUAGAACCGUGGAGACUUGGCAGUGAAAUUCUUCCAAAGCAUUCCAUCUGCGCAGGCAGGCAGAGGUUUUCCUGGUUUGGGAAGUAUAAAUCCCGUGGGAAGUCAACUGGAGGACAUUUUACGCGUCACUCAUCCUAUUAUGAGCCUGCUGCUCCUCCGUCUCUUGACAAGGCCACCAACUAGAAGGGCACAGAAUUGUUCAUAAAACAGCUGAAUGUGAAUGUCUUUGGAUUCCCAUUUAAUGAGUUGGCAGCUAAAGGACAGGAGCAGCAAUAAGGCUUCCUGGCUACAUUUUCAUGGUGCCACCAACUGCGAGUUAAGCUGACAAACAUUUUGAGAGCUCGGCCCAUUUCAUUCCCAGCAGGAUGGCAGGAGUUAACUAAAACAGAAUAAACUAAAAAUUGUGCCUUCAUUGCACAUUUGCACUGAUUAUCAGCACUGAAAAUGGCUAAGUUCUGCUUAUCAAGAGCGGGUGACUGAUUGUCCCUGCCAGCUGGCUAAUAUCAUAAUUAGCAAAGUUGCUACCACAUCUGCAAAGUUUAAUCGAAAAAUUUACCAGUGGUAUGAUGGCAUUGUCACCGCGAUCCUGAGGGAAUCAGAGUCGACUUCUGCUUCAACUGGAAUGGCAAGGCUGUAGAGCUGAGAUGAGAAACUGUAAACUUGCUCAGCCAAAGGUUAUGCUUCACAUCACCCACCAGGGAGGAUCAUCUCUCAUGAAAACUUUCAAAUUUGAUUUUGAAAAUUUAUUCAGAAAAAUUUAAGCCACGCUCUUUCCCAACACAGGAAAUAAUAUGCUCCAGAGAAUCCUCUAAUUCACCGAAAAUGGACUUGGAUAACAUUUGGGUUCUCAUACUACCACAGUCCUCUUGAGAAGGACAGCCAGGCUUGGGUGGCAGUGGUGAGGAAGGUUCCUUUCUGUCAAGGGAGCUGAUGCCUUAAAGAAGCUAUCUCCAGAUAAAGGGAGAUCUAAGGAAGGAAGCCAACGAAAGACACCAUGUACCAGAAAGCCAAGCAGGAUUUUGACAUUUAUAACCAUAAUCUCUAUAAACAAGAUGAAUUAUGGCUGGGGAUUCAGUUAGUAAAUCAACGAAAAUAAAUCCUGGUAAGGAGGCUAAUAAUGAAGGGGCCAGGGAAGGAGGCCAAUGCUACAGGGUUAUCUCCUAACCUCAGAUGUUGGAUAAGUCCAUGGAAACAGCAGCGCUUCUGGAUGGCUUCAGAAAGGCUGGAGUGAUUGUUUGGACGAGAAAAACCCGCCUAUUCAUUCAAAGGUACAUGAAUGUUGUCGACACUGUCCCAUCUAAAGGUUCAUCCUUAGAAUUCUGCCUUAGACAAAGGAAGUGCUUGGAGCCCCACCACACCUAAAACCAUGCUUUGAAGGAUCUGCCAAGCUCACUUUUAAUCAUGAGAAAGAAAUUACCCACAUGGAGACAGCAGAAAAUGAGAAAGUAGAGAUCGUGCUGCGAAUAAUUCCAGCGAGUGCCAAGGGGCUAGUUGAGGAAUGGCUUCAUGAGAUGUUAGUCUAUCUAGAACAACAGAUUUGGAUCUAAGCUGGACCUUUGAGAAAGAAAAGACUUCGAGGAAAAACACCUUUCCAUAUGUUUUAUUACCUUUCACCUGAAUUGUUUAAUGCACACUAUCCAACUAUAUUCAUCUUUCUUGCUUCAUGUGUAUUUCUUCUUUUGCUUGAACUGCUUUAGAAUUGACUUUUGAGCUACACAGUCAUUCUGGAUUUUUAAAAAGAGAAUUCUAAUAAAAACUUAUAUAUGUUGUUAA
RNAcentral lists this long non-coding RNA (2305 nucleotides) under Mus musculus (house mouse). Lineage: Eukaryota; Metazoa; Chordata; Mammalia; Rodentia; Muridae. The record is from RNAcentral.